RNAcentral lists this ribosomal RNA (480 nucleotides) under Rhodospirillum rubrum. RNAcentral's name for it is "bacterial SSU rRNA". It matches the Rfam family "Bacterial small subunit ribosomal RNA", at positions 395 to 895 of the family's 1533-position model. The record is from RNAcentral. Lineage: Bacteria; Pseudomonadati; Pseudomonadota; Alphaproteobacteria; Rhodospirillales; Rhodospirillaceae.
UGCCGCGUGAGUGAAGAAGGCCUUCGGGUUGUAAAGCUCUUUCAGAUGCGAAGAUGAUGACGGUAACAUCAGAAGAAGCCCCGGCUAAUUUCGUGCCAGCAGCCGCGGUAAUACGAAAGGGGCUAGCGUUGUUCGGAUUUACUGGGCGUAAAGGGCACGCAGGCGGUCUUGCCAGUCAGGGGUGAAAGCCCGGGGCUCAACCCCGGAACUGCCUCUGAUACUGCAAGACUAGAGACUAGGAGAGGGUGGUGGAAUUCCCAGUGUAGAGGUGAAAUUCGUAGAUAUUGGGAGGAACACCAGAGGCGAAGGCGGCCACCUGGACUAGAUCUGACGCUCAGGUGCGAAAGCGUGGGGAGCAAACAGGAUUAGAUACCCUGGUAGUCCACGCCGUAAACGAUGAGUGCUAGUUGUCGGGACUUCGGUUUCGGUGACGCAGCUAACGCAUUAAGCACUCCGCCUGGGGAGUACGGUCGCAAGAUU